RNAcentral lists this ribosomal RNA (320 nucleotides) under uncultured eukaryote. RNAcentral describes it as "partial 18S ribosomal RNA". It matches the Rfam family "Eukaryotic small subunit ribosomal RNA", at positions 1470 to 1796 of the family's 1831-position model. The record is from RNAcentral.
CCCCUAGAUGUUCUGGGCCGCACGCGCGCUACACUGAACAGUUCAACAAGUCUUAACCUUGGCCGAUAGGUCUGGGUAAUCUUUGAACGCUGUUCGUGAUUGGGAUAGACCUUUGCAAUUAUGGGUCUUCAACGAGGAAUUCCUAGUAAACGCAAGUCAUCAGCUUGCAUUGAUUACGUCCCUGCCCUUUGUACACACCGCCCGUCGCACCUACCGAUUGAAUGAUCCGGUGAAAUCUCGGGACGGCGGCUUGGUCGCUUGCGUCCGACUGCUGAAACUUGAUUAAACCAUAUCAUUUAGAGGAAGGUGAANUCGUANCA